AAUAAGCUGUACAUAAACUAAAUAAUUGUAAAAUUUAAGCGAUUUCUGUAAUUAGGUUAUUUUUUAAUUUCGAUAUUACCUUUAUUUCUCCUAUUUGUUCAACAGAAAAAAGGACAUUAACAAAAAGGUAUUCUUCUUCCGGAGGCAGAUUGUAAGCUUAAAUGAACGAUGACCCCAUUUUUUUUAUUUCAUUUUUCUUUUAAGUAUAUGAUAAAGUUGAUUUAUAAAAAAAUAUAGCGAAAUCCUAUAUUAGUAAAAAAAAAUGAUUUAUACCCAGGAUCCCCCUUAAUA
This 291-nucleotide long non-coding RNA is filed under the name Mytilus galloprovincialis (Mediterranean mussel). Lineage: Eukaryota; Metazoa; Mollusca; Bivalvia; Mytilida; Mytilidae. The record is from RNAcentral.